This 409-nucleotide long non-coding RNA is filed under the name Vigna radiata. Its description in RNAcentral is "long non-coding RNA (VRAD_LNC006269)". Lineage: Eukaryota; Viridiplantae; Streptophyta; Magnoliopsida; Fabales; Fabaceae. The record is from RNAcentral.
ACACAGUGGGGGCGAUGGCAGUAGCGGCUACGAAGGUGAGAAAUGCAGGGACGACCACGUACGAAAUGCGGCGACGACGCUGGUGAAGGAAGCCCUUCGGGAGAACAACGGUGGCGGCGAGGUUGAGGCGCAGCGGCAGGCGUGACAAAGAGGAAUGGCAGGCACGAUAGAGGCUGGAUGACGGAGAGACAAAACCUUGCAAAUGGGGCGCGACGGAGGAGAAGCUCUGAAACUGUUUUGUGUGAAGUGUAGAAGACGAAACUGUUUAUCUGUUAAAUUUUUUUAACCUUCAGACGAGCAUCUACCGCGGUUCAACACUAACCCGCUGUUAAAGAGUAGCAUAUACCACGAUUGUACACCUAAUCGAGGCCUAUUCUCCCCUUAAAAAUUUAAAUUUUACUUAGAUAAG